GCUGGCGUUAUCACAGUGAUCCAGCUGACGUUAUCACAGUGAUCCAGCUGGCGUUAUCACAGUGAUCCAGCUGGCGUUAUCACAGGGAUCCAGCUGGCGUUAUCACAGUGAUCCAGCUGGCGUUAUCACAGUGAUCCAGCUGGCGUUAUCACAGUGAUCCAGCUGGCGUUAUCACAGUGAUCCAGCUGGCGUUAUCACAGUGAUCCAGCUGGUAUUAUCACAGUGAUCCAGCUGGUGUUAUCACAGUGAUCCACUGUGAGACACUGUGUGUGUGAUUCUGUGUGUGUGUGAGACGCAGUGUUAUUUACCAUCUCCCUCUCCCCAGAGGUAUUUACCAUCUCCCUCUCCCCAGAGGUAUUUACCAUCUCCCUCUCCACAGAGGUAUUUACCAUCUCCCUCUCCCCAGAGGUAUUUACCAUCUCCCUCUCCCCAGAGGUAUUUACCAUCUCCCUCUCCCCAGAGGUAUUUACCAUC
RNAcentral lists this long non-coding RNA (474 nucleotides) under Salmo salar (Atlantic salmon). RNAcentral describes it as "lncRNA (ENSSSAG00000088609.1)". Lineage: Eukaryota; Metazoa; Chordata; Actinopteri; Salmoniformes; Salmonidae. The record is from RNAcentral.